Molecule: non-coding RNA, 610 nt
Organism: Acanthopagrus latus (yellowfin seabream)
Lineage: Eukaryota; Metazoa; Chordata; Actinopteri; Spariformes; Sparidae
Source: the annotation of a RefSeq genome assembly
UGUUUCAUUUCUGUAAAAAAAGGGACAUUUUCAAAAUGUUCCAGUUGAGUGUGUAAUGAAAUGAAAAUAUCAUGUGUAAAGCAGAGGUGAUUUUCAGGCAUGUUUUCACUCUGCAGAUAUAAUAACAGUCAACAGACUCUUCUAUUGGCUCCAGUCAGACCAACAUUGAUGCUUCAUAUGUUUGAUUCUAUGCAAACUCAGUGAGCUUCCUUGUUACUCAGCUAUAAAAACUUCCCAUCAGGCUGUCAGUGGAGUUCACAGCACGUCAGUUUCAACAUCAACCAUGUUUUCUGUAGCUCUGCUGCUGCUGUUGGCAGCUGGAUGUGUGAAGUGUGAACAGUUGACACAGCCAGCCUCUGUGACUGUGCAGCCAGGUCAACGUCUGACCAUCACCUGUCAGGUCUCUUAUUCUCUUGGCUACUACACAGCUUGGAUCAGACAGCCUGCAGGGAAAGGACUGGAGUGGAUUGGGAUGAGAUUUACUGGAGGCUCACACUACAAAGAUUCCCUGAAGAACAAGUUCAGUAUCAACUCAGACUCUUCCAGCAACACAGUGACUCUAAAUGGACAGAAUGUGCAGUCUAAAGACACUGCUGUGUAUUACUGUGCC